RNAcentral lists this ribosomal RNA (477 nucleotides) under uncultured Haloferula sp. Its description in RNAcentral is "bacterial SSU rRNA". It matches the Rfam family "Bacterial small subunit ribosomal RNA", at positions 29 to 505 of the family's 1533-position model. The record is from RNAcentral. Lineage: Bacteria; Pseudomonadati; Verrucomicrobiota; Verrucomicrobiia; Verrucomicrobiales; Verrucomicrobiaceae.
AAUGAACGCUAGCGGCGUGUUUAAGACAUGCAAGUUGAACGGAGAGUUUGUAGUUUACUAGAAACUUUUAGUGGCGGACGGGUGAGUAACACGUGAAUUACCUACCCAUAAGUGGAGGACAGUCCUGGGAAACUGGGUUUAAUACUCCAUGUGCAUAUAUGUAAAGGUGCCUUCGGGUGCCGCUUAUGGAUGGGUUCGCGAUCUAUCAGCUAGUUGGUGAGGUAAAGGCUCACCAAGGCUACGACGGAUAGCUGGUCUUAGAGGAUGAUCAGUCACACUGGAACUGAGACACGGUCCAGACACCUACGGGUGGCAGCAGUCGAGAAUAAUUCACAAUGGACGAAAGUCUGAUGGUGCAACGCCGCGUGGAGGAUGACGGUUUUCGGAUUGUAAACUCCUGUCAUCGAAGAGUAAGACUUAGUAGUUAAUACCUGCUAAGUUUGAGAGUAUUCGAAGAGGAAGGGACGGCUAACUUCG